Neofelis nebulosa (Clouded leopard) is the source of this 496-nucleotide long non-coding RNA. RefSeq lists it as uncharacterized. Lineage: Eukaryota; Metazoa; Chordata; Mammalia; Carnivora; Felidae. The transcript is spliced from 2 exons. The record is from RefSeq and is a predicted model, not a curated record.
UUGGAUUUUAUUCCGCAAACACUUGUCCUUUUCUUUAAGGACAGUUUCAAGUCUGCAGAGUUGAUCUAACUGCUCAUCGCCCUGUACUUUUUCUCUGUCCUACCCAGUAACGAUAAGCUGGGGGCAAGGAUGAAACACAGUAACACUCAAAUACCUUUGGAGAAAAUGUAAAUUGGUGGCAUCAUUCUGGACAACAAUCUACACUACCUAGUAAAGCUGAGGAUGUGGGAACCCAACACAUGGAAGUUCCAGCCCUACACAGAUAAAUCCUAGAGAAACACACAUUUACACAAGAGGACAAAAAACAAGCUUGUGCUUGCAGCAUUGUUUGUAAUCACAAAACAAAAUGUCCACCGACAGAAGAACAGGAUGAAAGGAGAAAUCAGCAGUCUGCAACCCAGAAGACAGCUCUCACCAGAACCCGGCCAUACUGACACUGUGAUCUCAGACUUCCCAGCUUCCAGAACUGUGAGAAAUAAAUUCAUGCUGGUGAUAA